This 636-nucleotide ribosomal RNA is filed under the name Nebria nivalis. Its description in RNAcentral is "partial 16S ribosomal RNA". The stretch from base 393 to 552 matches the Rfam family "Bacterial large subunit ribosomal RNA", at positions 2473 to 2632 of the family's 2925-position model. The record is from RNAcentral. Lineage: Eukaryota; Metazoa; Arthropoda; Insecta; Coleoptera; Carabidae.
CAUGUCCUUUAGAAUUUAAUUUAAGGUCUAGCCUGCCCACUGAAAUUAAUUUUAAAUGGCCGCAGUAAUUUGACUGUCCAAAGGUAGCAUAAUCAUUAGUUUUUUAAUUGAAAGCUUGUAUGAAAGGUUGGACGAGGUAAAAUCUGUCUCUAAUUAAUUUAAUUUAGAAUUUAACUUUUAAGUUAAAAGGCUUAAAUAUAAUUAAAAGACGAGAAGACCCUAUAGAUCUUUAUAAUUUAUUUAUUAAAUUUAAUUAAGAAUUUUUAAAAUUUUAUUAAUUUAAUUAUUUUAUUGGGGUAAUGUAAAGAUUAAAUUAAUUCUUUUUUUUUAUUAACAUUAAUUUAUGAUUUUAUGAUCCAAUUUUAUUGGCUAUAAGAUUAAGUUACCUUAGGGAUAACAGCGUUAUUUUUUUAGAGAGUUCUUAUCGAUAAAAAAGUUUACGACCUCGAUGUUGGAUUAAAGAUUAUUUUAGGCGCAGAAGUUUAAAAAUUUUGGUCUGUUCGACCAUUGAAUCUUUACAUGAUCUGAGUUCAGACCGGUGUAAGCCAGGUCGGUUUCUAUCUUUAAUAAAUUAAAAUAUUUUAGUACGAAAGGACCAAUUAUUUAAUAUAAAAUAUUUAAAUUUUGAUUAUUAUU